This 486-nucleotide ribosomal RNA is filed under the name uncultured bacterium. RNAcentral describes it as "partial 16S ribosomal RNA". It matches the Rfam family "Bacterial small subunit ribosomal RNA", at positions 28 to 507 of the family's 1533-position model. The record is from RNAcentral.
GAUGAACGCUGGCGGCGUGCCUAAUACAUGCAAGUCGAACGCUGGAAAUCUAGCUUGCUGGAUUGAAGGAGUGGCGAACGGGUGAGUAAUACAUAAGCAACCUACCCACGAAGACUGGGAUAAUCUCUGGAAACGGGGACUAAUACCGGAUAGGUAAUCGGAAGGCAUCUUCUGAUUAUUAAAGGUUAAAACCACUGGUGGAUGGGCUUAUGGCGCAUUAGUUAGUUGGUGAGGUACCGGCCCACCAAGACGAUGAUGCGUAGCCGGCCUGGGAGGGUGAAUGGCCACAUGGGGACUGAGACACGGCCCAGACUCCUACGGGAGGCAGCAGUAGGGAAUUUUCGGCAAUGGGGGAAACCCUGACCGAGCAACGCCGCGUGAGUGAUGACGGCCUUCGGGUUGUAAAGCUCUGUUGUAAGGGAAGAACGGUAGAUAGAGAAUAUCUAAAUGACGGUACCUUACCAGAAAGCAACGGCUAACUACGUG